UUUGUUCUUGUUAUAACGAGUUAUGACCAAGUCCUGUAUUCGCCCUUCUUUUUAGUGCUGUGUUUGUCGGAGGGAACUCAAGAAAUAUGUUCUAAUGAGUUGUUACGUGACAAGCUAUGUCCAGAGUAAACCUGCUCUCGGCGGCUGUUGUUAUGGAGUCCGGCGGUAGGCAAAGAAUAUCUUAUACUUAAUGAAGUAGAUGAGCAAGAGUGAAAAGAGCAUAAGUGGAAGUUUCAUUUUGUGUGCGUGUGUUGGCGUAGAUAGAAUAAGAGAAGAAUACGUUCUCGGCUCUCCCUUUGCGCUCGUUGUUUACUCUUUUCUUUCAUAUGCGCUCGAUGGAUUGAAUUCCCUUAGAGUCAGGAAGCAGGAAGCAGUGCUUGUUAAGUCUUAGAAAGAAUAAGAGGUGAAGUCGUUAACAGCAAUCGGUUCUGUUCCAGUAGCCAUAGUUAUAGGAGAAGAAUGAAGUUAAGUUAAUAGGGGUAGGCUUGUUUACUUGGGUAUCAGGGAAGGCUUGUUUACUGACUUGCUUGUUAGGGUGGUAAACUGACUUGCUUGUUAGGAUAGUUGUUUCAUUCCUAUGCUAGGCUAGGGGUGGGCAAGUGGGCAAGCGAGUAGUUUCUUUAUACAGUAGUUAGUUUACUCACUCUGGUAUUGCACUAAAGAAUCGAUCGAGUUUAAGAAUCGAAUGGGAUGAAUCAAUUUCUCAAAUCCAAAAAAAAGUAGAAAACGAUGGAAAUUGAUCCUAUACAGACUCAGUAGACACACAGUAGCAAAAAACCUAGGGGAACGUUUACUCUCCUUAUUAA
This 806-nucleotide long non-coding RNA is filed under the name Musa acuminata (dwarf banana). Its description in RNAcentral is "long non-coding RNA (MACU_LNC011559)". The record is from RNAcentral. Lineage: Eukaryota; Viridiplantae; Streptophyta; Magnoliopsida; Zingiberales; Musaceae.